This 253-nucleotide ribosomal RNA is filed under the name uncultured bacterium. RNAcentral's name for it is "partial 16S ribosomal RNA". It matches the Rfam family "Bacterial small subunit ribosomal RNA", at positions 524 to 776 of the family's 1533-position model. The record is from RNAcentral.
UACGGAGGGUGCAAGCGUUAUCCGGAUUCACUGGGUUUAAAGGGUGCGUAGGUGGGCAAGUAAGUCAGUGGUGAAAUCUCCGGGCUUAACCCGGAAACUGCCAUUGAUACUAUUUGUCUUGAAUACUGUGGAGGUCAGCGGAAUAUGUCAUGUAGCGGUGAAAUGCUUAGAUAUGACAUAGAACACCAAUUGCGAAGGCAGCUGGCUACACAAAUAUUGACACUGAGGCACGAAAGCGUGGGGAUCGAACAGG